RNAcentral lists this ribosomal RNA (215 nucleotides) under uncultured fungus. Its description in RNAcentral is "partial small subunit ribosomal RNA". The stretch from base 91 to 215 matches the Rfam family "Eukaryotic small subunit ribosomal RNA", at positions 738 to 864 of the family's 1831-position model. Lineage: Eukaryota; Fungi. The record is from RNAcentral.
GACCUGGCCGGGCGGUCCGCCUCACGGUGUGUACUGUCUGGCUGGGUUCUACCUCUUGGUGAGCCGGCAUGCCCUUCACUGGGUGUGUCGAGGAACCAGGACUGUUACCUUGAGAAAAUUAGAGUGUUCAAAGCAGGCCUAUGCCUGAAUACGUUAGCAUGGAAUAAUGAAAUAGGACGUUCGAUCCUAUUUUGUUGGUUUCUAGGAUUGACGUA